RNAcentral lists this ribosomal RNA (307 nucleotides) under Blastocystis sp. RNAcentral describes it as "SSU rRNA". The stretch from base 38 to 307 matches the Rfam family "Eukaryotic small subunit ribosomal RNA", at positions 685 to 957 of the family's 1831-position model. The record is from RNAcentral. Lineage: Eukaryota; Bigyra; Opalinata; Blastocystidae.
UGUGGGUGGUGCUGUCUGAAUGACUUCGGUUAGUCAGAUGAUCACUACCCCCUUCCAGUAUCCAGUAGUGGGUAUUCACUUACUUACUACUGUGUGUUGGUCCUUUACUGUGAGAAAAUUAGAGUGUUCAAAGCAGGCGUUUGCUUGAAUAGAUUAGCAUGGAAUAAUAAUUGAAGGCUUUCGUGUUCGAUUUGAUUGGUUUGUUCAUGGAAGCAAGGUUAAAAGGAACAGUUGGGGGUAUUCAUAUUCACUAGUUAGAGGUGAAAUUCUCGGAUUUAUGGAAGAUGAACAAGUGCGAAAGCAAGAC